CUUAUAACAUAACGGAGGCCUACAGAAAGGCCACAGCAAGGGAGCGCCCGGACCCCGGAAUCGACCGGUUCGAGGGUCACCAGGCUCACUGUCAAGUCCCUGCAGAGUAACACCUCCCCCUGUAGGAUCAGGCCAGGACUUCAACUUGGAAACCUCAAAUGCCUGGCUGCAGCUCGAGGAGUCUUCUGAGUUCCUCACAGUUACACCUAAAGACAGAAAUUGAGCAGUAGAGGUGAUCUUCUUACAACCCAGAGGAAUGAUCAGAUGGUGCAACAAGGAGAAAGGGAAAGGAUGAGAUGAGACGAAGGCCAAGU
Long non-coding RNA from Notolabrus celidotus (New Zealand spotty), 314 nucleotides. RefSeq lists it as uncharacterized. The record is from RefSeq and is a predicted model, not a curated record. The transcript has 3 exons. Lineage: Eukaryota; Metazoa; Chordata; Actinopteri; Labriformes; Labridae.